AAAUUUCCAUUUUCAUUUUUCUCACUUACUAUAUAAGAUGAGGUUGACAAGAAUUAAUUAGUUAGUUUGAGGACAGGUAGCAAUUACAGCGAGAACUUUCCAAAGAUGGCGCUUCUGAAAUUGUAUUUUUACUUAGUAACAGCUCUGCUGGCCGUAAAUUUAAUUUUAGCGGAUAAUUCCAACGAAUCCGAACAACAGGAGAAGGCUAGUUUGUUUCCUGGAAAUUUUAACCCAUUUGACUUCUUCGGUCAGUUUCUACCAUUCGGUAAUCGACAAACUAGAGAUGUGAGUAACCAGGAGGAAAGGGAAGGCCAGGAAAAUCAGGAAACCACGAGCGAAAGUUCCAAUCAACGUUUGACUGUCUCUAGUGCCCUAGUGACUUGUAACUACACACUAACUCCUGGAUUAUCCUGCGUGGGCUGCAAUCAAGCGUUGUCAUGCGGGUCAGGCAACGUCGGCAGACAGAGGCGUUGUUUGCUGUACUGCAACAGUGGUAGAUGUUCACUCGUCCCUGGAGCACAAUGCUUAAAUUCCACAGUUGCUGGCUAAACAUGCAUAAGUGUCGGCACGGAAAUCGACCAGAUUAUUUAUGGACUUGUAUACUUUCUUCUUUUAAGACAAACUCACUUUAUCUGGCUUUUUAUUUUGGCGUGAUUCAUGUAUUUUUCGAAAUAUAAUUUCUGCGAAUU
Pieris rapae (cabbage white) is the source of this 689-nucleotide long non-coding RNA. RefSeq lists it as uncharacterized. The transcript has 3 exons. The record is from RefSeq and is a predicted model, not a curated record. NCBI's taxonomy places the organism in Eukaryota, Metazoa, Arthropoda, Insecta, Lepidoptera, Pieridae.